CUAGGUACACAUAAGGUAUAAAUAUCAACAAUAAUAUAUUGAUAUAAUCUGAUAUAUUACCAAGUUAAAUAUAUCAAUAUUAGAUCAAAUACAGUAUCAAUAUGAUGCUUUAUUGCCUUCCGUCUUUGCAUUGGUGGGUGUCAGAUCUUGACGAAAAAAGGUAUCGUGAGUCUUAAUUUUACAAGCUCAUCAAGACAUCAUUUAAAAUAUUUUUAAAAAUAUUCAUCUUGGCAUCAGUGACGCCCCCAAAAUAGAUCUAAUUCAUCUCGCCAAAUACAUGAUACAGAAAAUAACUACAACUUUAUUAUUACAACAACACAUAUGUUGUGAGUUUUGAUACAAAUAUAUGCCAACUGUGACUCAUGUCCCAACCGUGGACAGCAUCUCACAGUGAUAACUUACAUAAAGGUACAGUCAAUAACUGUUUUAGAAAUUAAAAUCUUUGAGAAGUGCUCAAGGAAACCUUCGUACAUGGGAGACCAUGCGUGUAGGUUAUGAUAGAUAUCAUAGGACUCGAGAAUUAUUCUUGACGAGAAGAUUACUAUCAUGUUCCUUCCAAUGGUGAGUCUUCUCUUGACAUAUAAUUAUCUCCACUGUCUGCCAAACUCCAAGAUCAUAUAGGUAGUGCUUGUAGAUAUACUCAGCAAGUGGAUGUGCAAACUAUCAAAAUUAAAUUUACAAUUAACUUAAAUUAUAAACUUGAACACUUUAAUAAAUUUUUAAGAACUUACGAUAUAUUUAAACAGAGAAAUCACGAUCGGAUGAGAUCAAGCACACAUGAACCUAAAAUUCCAUAGAGCUCGAUCUCUAAUAACUAGAAUGAAUAAGCGCAGGCCUGGAUCAAAGUUCAUCCCACAUCUACAAACUGAUAUUUGAUUUAAGGAAUCAGUUAAACUAGUAAUAAUAUGAAUAAAGAUGCAAAACUAAGUAAUAUAGAGAGAAUCAUUGAUGUACCUUUGGACAGGGAGCCAAUAUGGAUGAAUAAUAGACUGCCAGAUAAAGUAAUAGCAGAACCAUCACUUUCUUUUUUCUUCUUCAUGAGGGAGGGAGGGAGGGAGGGAGGGAUAAAAGAUAUGAAGCCCUAGCACACAUUUAUAUAAAGGAAAUAGAGUGACUUAUUACUCACUCC
Molecule: long non-coding RNA, 1129 nt
Filed under: Panax ginseng (ginseng)
Lineage: Eukaryota; Viridiplantae; Streptophyta; Magnoliopsida; Apiales; Araliaceae
Description: long non-coding RNA (PGIN_LNC011194)
Source: RNAcentral